Molecule: ribosomal RNA, 506 nt
Filed under: uncultured bacterium
Lineage: Bacteria
Description: partial 16S ribosomal RNA
Rfam family: Bacterial small subunit ribosomal RNA
Source: RNAcentral
AGUGAACGCUGGCGGUAGGCCUAACACAUGCAAGUCGAACGGCAGCACAGGAGAGCUUGCUCCUUGGGUGGCGAGUGGCGGACGGGUGAGGAAUACAUCGGAAUCUACUCUGUCGUGGGGGAUAACGUAGGGAAACUUACGCUAAUACCGCAUACGACCUACGGGUGAAAGCAGGGGAUCUUCGGACCUUGCGCGAUUGAAUGAGCCGAUGUCGGAUUAGCUAGUUGGCGGGGUAAAGGCCCACCAAGGCGACGAUCCGUAGCUGGUCUGAGAGGAUGAUCAGCCACACUGGAACUGGGACACGGUCCAGACUCCUACGGGAGGCAGCAGUGGGGAAUAUUGGACAAUGGGCGCAAGCCUGAUCCAGCCAUACCGCGUGGGUGAAGAAGGCCUUCGGGUUGUAAAGCCCUUUUGUUGGGAAAGAAAUCCAUCUGGUUAAUACCCGGGUGGGAUGACGGUACCCAAAGAAUAAGCACCGGCUAACUUCGUGCCAGCCGCCGCCGUAA